AAUAGUCUUUUAAUUGGAGGCUUGAAUGAAUGGCUGGACAAAAGAAAGGCUGUUUCGUUGAUAAAAAUUGAAUUUAAUAUUUAUGUGAAAAAGCAUGAAUGAUUUAGAGGGACGAUAAGACCCUAUAAAACUUUACGUGAUUAUGUGCUUUCUCGAAAUAUUGGUAAAGGGCAAGUGGAAUAUAAGCGUUGGGUUGGGGUGACAAAGAUAAAAUUAGUAACUGUUUUUAUAUUAAAAUAAUUAUAAUUAGAUAAUGAUCCUUUAAUAGAGAUUAAGAGAUAAAGUUACUUUAGGGAUAACAGCAUAAUUUUUUCUAAGAGUUCUUAUCGAUGAAGAUAGUUGUGACCUCGAUGUUGAAUUAAGAUUUCCUUUAGGAGUAGAAAUUUAAAAGGAAGGUCUGUUCGACCUUUAAAUUCUUA
RNAcentral lists this ribosomal RNA (419 nucleotides) under Salmoneus degravei. Its description in RNAcentral is "partial large subunit ribosomal RNA". It matches the Rfam family "Bacterial large subunit ribosomal RNA", at positions 1967 to 2598 of the family's 2925-position model. The record is from RNAcentral. Lineage: Eukaryota; Metazoa; Arthropoda; Malacostraca; Decapoda; Alpheidae.